RNAcentral lists this ribosomal RNA (202 nucleotides) under uncultured bacterium. RNAcentral describes it as "partial 16S ribosomal RNA". It matches the Rfam family "Bacterial small subunit ribosomal RNA", at positions 1301 to 1500 of the family's 1533-position model. The record is from RNAcentral.
UAGUCUGCAACUCGACUACAUGAAGCUGGAAUCGCUAGUAAUCGCGAAUCAGAAUGUCGCGGUGAAUACGUUCCCGGGUCUUGUACACACCGCCCGUCACACCAUGGGAGUCAGUAACGCCCGAAGUCAGUGACCCAACCAGAGAUGGAGGGAGCUGCCGAAGGCGGGACCGAUAACUGGGGUGAAGUCGUAACAAGGUACC